AUUGAACGCUGGCGGCAGGCCUAACACAUGCAAGUCGAGCGGAAGAAGGGAGCUUGCUCGUGGAUUCAGCGGCGGACGGGUGAGUGAUGCCUAGGAAUCUGCCUGGCAGUGGGGGAUAACGUCCGGACAUGGGCGCUAAUACCGCAUACGUGCUGAGGGCCAAAGUGGGGGAUCUUCGGACCUCACGCUAUUAGAUGAGUCUAGGUCGGAUUAGCUAGUUGGUGGGGUAAAGGCCUACCAAGGCGACGAUCCGUAACUGGUCUGAGAGGAUGAUCAGUCACACUGGAACUGAGACACGGUCCAGACUCCUACGGGAGGCAGCAGUGGGGAAUAUUGGACAAUGGGCGAAAGCCUGAUCCAGCCAUGCCGCGUGUGUGAAGAAGGUCUUCGGAUUGUAAAGCCCUUUUAGUUGGGAGGAAGAGCAGUAAGUUAAUACCUUGCUGUUUUGACGGUACCAACAGAAUAAGCACCGGCUAACUUCGUG
RNAcentral lists this ribosomal RNA (484 nucleotides) under uncultured bacterium. Its description in RNAcentral is "partial 16S ribosomal RNA". It matches the Rfam family "Bacterial small subunit ribosomal RNA", at positions 30 to 507 of the family's 1533-position model. The record is from RNAcentral.